Ilex paraguariensis (yerba mate) is the source of this 115-nucleotide non-coding RNA. The record is from the annotation of a GenBank genome assembly. Lineage: Eukaryota; Viridiplantae; Streptophyta; Magnoliopsida; Aquifoliales; Aquifoliaceae.
ACGAUUAUACCAGCACUAAUGCACCGAAUCCCAUCAGAACUCUAUAGUUAAGCGUGCUUGGGUUAGAGUGGUACUACGAUGGGUGACCCCAUGGGAAGUCCUUGUGUAGCACUCU